CGAAGUACUCCCAUUAGGAUCUACGACUCUCUCCUCUUGAGGGGUGCCACUGGUCAGAUGGGGAGUGCUACCAUCCCGUGGUUGUGAUGUCUCUCUUGCAAUUUCUUGAGUAGUUCUUGUCAUUCUACGGGGAGGCAUGAUAACCUUGUAGUAGUAAAACCUUAUUAAAUUCAUUUAUCUAUUUGUUAGGAUGGGUUUAUUAUGAUUCUCAUACUUUAAUAUCCCAAUAUUUUUAAUGUUUACCCACCUACACUCAUACUAUGUCUAAUUCUAUGUAUCAUAAUUUAUCCACUUAUGCUCUGAUACCAUAUUAAUUGUCACGCCCCCGGCCCGA
RNAcentral lists this long non-coding RNA (334 nucleotides) under Elaeis guineensis (African oil palm). RNAcentral's name for it is "long non-coding RNA (EGUI_LNC071312)". Lineage: Eukaryota; Viridiplantae; Streptophyta; Magnoliopsida; Arecales; Arecaceae. The record is from RNAcentral.